Molecule: ribosomal RNA, 255 nt
Filed under: uncultured bacterium
Lineage: Bacteria
Description: partial 16S ribosomal RNA
Rfam family: Bacterial small subunit ribosomal RNA
Source: RNAcentral
UGCGUAGGGGGGCGAGCGUUGUCCGGAUUCAUUGGGCGUAAAGCGCUUUAAGGCGGUUCGGUAAGUCGGGUGUGAAACCUCCAGGCUCAACCUGGAGACGCCACUCGAUACUGCUGUGACUAGAGUUCGGUAGGGGAUCACGGAAUUCCUGGUGUAGCGGUGAAAUGCGCAGAUAUCAGGAGGAACACCGGUGGCGAAGGCGGUGAUCUGGGCCGACACUGACGCUGUAGAGCGAAAGCGUGGGGAGCGAACAGG